RNAcentral lists this long non-coding RNA (1857 nucleotides) under Homo sapiens (human). RNAcentral's name for it is "HSALNT0333969". The record is from RNAcentral. Lineage: Eukaryota; Metazoa; Chordata; Mammalia; Primates; Hominidae.
UACCUGUCCAUUCCAAGGAUUCGGUCCAGCAGAAGCGUGAGGAGGUGGCGGAGGCCCCGAGGGCUUUGCGUCAUCACUUCUGCGGCCUGCGGGCGAGAAGGUGCGCUUCGGGAGUAGCGCGGGAGGACAGGAGGCGCAGGUUGUGAGGGACGCAGGCCCUGGGGCUUCGGUCUCUGUCCUCCGAGCUCAGAGCCUCCAGGCUUCUUCCCGGCCGCGCGCUCAGCACUCACUGUCUUACGGUCCCGAAGCGCUUUAAGGUGCGCAGUCCGCAGGCCUUGCCUACUGAUCUUCCAGCCACCCCUUGAAGGAAGCAGUUGCAGAGGCAUAGAGCCGGCCAUCUCGCACAAUGUCUUCUACCAGCUGCUCAUAGUCCUCUGCAAAGUCAACCAAGGUAACAUAGGGAAUCUGGAAGCCACGGGCGCUGUUGGCCUCGCUUGUCUUGAAGUUGAUCCAGAGCUUCCUGGAACGGGCAGUGAAGGCAAUGGGACGCUCGUAGGUCUGGCAGAUUUGGACUGCCCUUCCCUGGCCCAGCUCUGCAAGCCACCCACAGUUCUUUCUCAUGACGAGGACGUCCCCACACUCAUCCUCAGAUGGCAGGAAGAUCUCUGACGCUGAGCACAGUGCCAAACCUAUAUAGAAACUCAUUUGGGAUAUGGAGGAGAAUAUGCCACCAGUUCUCCAAAGUGGAGGGCGGAUGCAGACAUGGUGCAUGCAUCCAGGGAUUGCCCAUAGCCACAAGCCAACACAAGGACCUGUUCAAUUGGAGGGUGAAGAGGUUCGAUCAAAGGAACACUCGUCUAUAUCUGGAAGAGCAAAGAUUCAAGCCACUGAAUCUGUCUUGGAGCACUUGACCCUUGCUCAGUUCUUCCCAGCAGGAAACCUCUCAACUCUGGCUGGCUGACCUGCUGCCCUAGCCUCCCCCCUCCUCUCGCAGCUGUUGGGCCAAAAGACACAAAGAACGAGCCCAGUCCUCCUCGUCCCCACUCCUUGUGACCAGGGGAUAUGGACCUAAUGAAUCAUCAUUUUCAGUAUGGCUACCCUGCCUUUUUCCUCCACCCUUUCCCCCCAUUCUCCCUCAGACCUGGCUAAUUAAAAGGAAGGGAAACAGAAUGCAUAAUGUGGGUAACUAUACUGUAAUAACAGUUAACACAAAGUGUUUCCAUUUGCCAAGCACUGUUCUAAGUACUUUUUAUGUAAUCACUCUUUUAAUCACAACACAGUAUGAGGCGAGCACUAUGGAAAACUGAGGCACAGAGACAUUAAGUGACUUGUCCAGGAUCACAGAGCUAGUAGGAGACAGGGCUGGGAUCUGAACCCAGCUUCAGUCCUCCUAACUAGUAUCCUACUCUCCCUUUGACCAGUACAGCCUUUCGAGGGGUAGACAUCAUUUCCCCAGAGCCCACUGGGAAGGUCUGAGGAAUGUGGGGUAAGAAGGUUAUGGAACACACCUGUGACCUCAUGCACACACACAGUCAGGGCUCAAAUAUCCUUCCAGACCCAGGAGCAAAUGUGAAUCGCAUGUCCAUUAACUAAGAGGGUUAGGGACCCAUGGGGGAUAGGAAUGAGAGUAGGGAAACAAGGUGGGGUAGGGGAAGGGGGCACUAAGGAACUGGCUGGACUUCUCUGUCCCUUGAACUGAGAUGAAACAGGCAGAUAGGAGACAACCCUUAGCUAUGUCCUGGGUUCUUCAUAAGAAGGAGGUUGAGGAGGUGUCAUCCCCUAAUAGGCACCCUAUCUCUGGUCCCAACCUCAGCCCCUUACCAAAGGUCACUCUGCUUCUGUCCUCUCAAAGUCCUUACCUUUGCACGUCUUCCUGUCUGGCUGCAGCAUGAAGCCCACAGGGCAGGUGCAGUGGAC